GACGAACGCUGGCGGCGUGCCUAACACAUGCAAGUCGAGCGAAAAGACCAGGCGUUUGUGCGUUUGACGUUUGCGGCGGACGGGAGAGUCACAUGAGUAUACUCUACCUAUCAGACUGGGAUAAUCUCGGGACACCGGCUCUUAUACCGGAUAAUAUAUUGCACCGCGUUGGUCAAUAGUGAAAGUCGGUUUUUCUGUCAGUAAUAGCUGGUUACGCGCCGCAUUAGCUGGUUGGUAAGGUCACGGCUUAUCCAGGCUAGGAUGCGUAGGCGACCUCAGAGGGUGGUCGGCCACCCGGGAACUGAGACAGCGUCCAGACGCCUGCGGGAGGCCGCAGUAGCGAAUCUUCCGCAAUGGGGGAAAGCCUGACAGAGCAACGCGGCGUGAGUGAUGAAGGUCCUCGGAGCGUAAAGCUCUGUUAUUAGUUGAGAACAAAUGUGUAAUUAACCGUGCAGGUCGUGACGGUACCGGGUCAAAAAGCCACGGCUAACUACGUG
RNAcentral lists this ribosomal RNA (497 nucleotides) under uncultured bacterium. Its description in RNAcentral is "partial 16S ribosomal RNA". It matches the Rfam family "Bacterial small subunit ribosomal RNA", at positions 28 to 507 of the family's 1533-position model. The record is from RNAcentral.